This is a long non-coding RNA of Syngnathus acus (greater pipefish), 2774 nucleotides long. RefSeq lists it as uncharacterized. Lineage: Eukaryota; Metazoa; Chordata; Actinopteri; Syngnathiformes; Syngnathidae. The transcript is spliced from 2 exons. The record is from RefSeq and is a predicted model, not a curated record.
GAAUGCCUGGCAAAGCAUUAUCCAGACGGUGUGUGUGUGUCUGUGUGUGUAAUCAAGAGACCUGUCGUCUUGGUGACAGUGUGUUUUGCUCCGACAGCAACUGCAGUUGCAAUGCUACAUUCCACUGCUACAUAAAUUCAAAUACAGGAGACGCUGCUCAAUGUUUAUCGCAGCGAAAUUUAUUUUCCAGCUUUUAGCUUCUCUGCUCUGUAAACUUUUGAGUGUCCACAACUAUGGUACAAACCAUCUUUAAGAUGCGGCUAUCCAGCCCAAAAUUGUUUGCAGUAUAAUUGCACUUCUUGACUCAAUCAUCCUAAAAUGAUCUGUGCAUUUUCUAUUCAAGUUUAUGGUGGUGGGGAGCAGGAGCCCAUGUCAACUCCCCUUGGACAGGCGGCAGCCUACAACUUGAUUGCCAGUCAAUCACAAGGCACAUAUGGAAAGGAAACAACCAUUCAAAGAGAUUUCAAGGUCUGCAUGAAAGUCAAGUACGUGAACCAGUACACUAUCAAUGACCCAUAUAGUCCUGGAAUCCCUAUUUUUAUUUUUGGAUGAUGUUGGAUGACAUUCAACCUUAGGAAGUUGUUUUCCCGUUGAAAUACCUGACUUCUAACCAGUGAGGGGAUUGGCUGUCUCCUCCAGUUUUGGCUUUUAAUUGUCUUUUUGCUCCUUACACAGCAUCUGGGUUAAACUUUAAUAUGCUGGCAGUGUGGAUGUGAACGUCAUGUACUAUUGCAGCACUAUAAGCAUACCCAGAUGUCCCCUGCAAAUGAAAGACAAAGUCUCCUCAGUAAACUUCACAGUGCAGUUUGGUUUGCAAACCUAACAGUUCCACGACCGACACUUUCCACUAAUGACAGAUGGCAGCCCGAGCCGCUUCCUUUGGUGGGACUGAGUGACAGAAAGGUCACCAGCGAUCCGUAGCUAAUAUCCAGUCCGUGGAAACGGCAAGGGGCAGAUUGUAGACCCAGAUUCCACAGUCAAUACCUAGCAGAUGGGAGAAGCCGAGGCCCUUGUCCAAAAAGAAAAAGACCUUCUGAUGUUCUGCAUUUUGACACAGAGCUGUCAAGUGAAAAAAAUGACAAGCGUAACAGAAAGGGACAGGCUGUUUGUGCAGGGCGGCAGGCCUGCUGUCUCUGUACUGUCUCCCUCACUUCCCUCACACACAUGACCCCAACCCCUGACCUGGAGGGCCACAGAAAGCAUCAACACCGGAUACUCACACUGCUCUGCAUGCCAACAUCAUGGCAUGUGGACACAGUCGCUCUUAUUGUGCAAAUAUUUCAAACAUUUGGAUAAGAUUCACUUCCCGCACACAGGUCUGCAAAACACAUUAAUGCAGACAAAAAUGCCUUCUGUCUGAGCGAGCGGUGUGAAGGACAAAUGACAAAGUGAAAAGAAAAAAAAAAAUAGAAGUCGGGCGAGGAAAAAGGGAAGGAAGUUAAUGUAAAAAACACUUGUAGCAAAACUUACGGAGCUUGAGUGGAGGACAGAUGUCUCAAACUGCAACCGAACUCUUUGGGGCAACAUGAUGUCAUCCUGCGACACACGAGGAACAGUAAUUCACAAUGCACGUCAAAUAUAAGUCAGGAUGCAAAAAAAAAAAGCGUGUGAUCGCUGUUUGAAACGGUAGAGGCUUUUUUUUAACCUUUUCUCUUUCUUCGAGAGAAUACUCAUUAUAAAUCGUAUUAAACUGGAUUAGUUCUCGGAGAACAGAACCCCAACAUGAAAGAAUUGGAGCAGAUUUUUUUCCCCCUCAUCUCCUCAUCUGGAACCGAUUUUCUCUGAAUGUAUAUGUAAUCAUGCAUGGAGAGGAAAAGAUCAGACUUGUAAUAACAUUUAAGAUGUGCUUGACAAAGUCUAAAAGAAACGCUUUCGCUUCAUCUACUUUUGGUCUUUUGUAGGACUUGAACUGUGUCGAGCAGAGGGACAAGUACAAGCGAGCUAAUGCAGGAAUUUUAUGAGAAUACAGUCGGACUGUCAGGCACCGUGUUUUGAUGGACACCCUCCGUUGGAACGAAGAAAAGUCUUAAUGUGGAGUUUAAAAGCAAAACUAAGAAGUGAUGAGGUCAACUUAAUUUGAUUAGUGGCGGAGGGCUCCAGAUGGUCUUUCCAUUCCAGGUUUUUCAAAUUGGACGGAGGAAGACAAGUGACGUUUUAAUAGAACUAACAUAAGACUGCACACGCACUUACCGCAUCCUGAAAGCACAAGUAUUUUCCACAACUCUGCGCUACUGCCUUAUUUUUUGCAUAUCCCACUGAAAGAAAAAGCAGCAUUUCCAUAAGUUUCCAUUUGUGAGAUUUUACAUUGACCUGUAUGAGGGACAAUGGUUAGAACAUGAUGUAGUCGGUAGAUCAGAAUACUUCAUGUAUUUUUCAAAUAGACAAAGUACUAAAACAUGCAUGCAUUCACACUAGUAUUAGAAGAAAAUGGUGACAUUUUUGCAUGAUUACAAUGAUUUAUGUGAAGUUAAUUAUGCUAUUCUGAAAAUUACUGAUCAUUAAGUAUGACUAUGUUAAAAAGCAAAGUUGCUGAGGACAAACAAAUGUCUUGCAUGAUGCAUCUUUGGGAAUAAUUCGAUGAGUGAUGCCAUCAUUCAGGAAGCCAGGAAUGCAGAUUGUGUUUACACGCAUGCAAAUACUCAACAUCUCCUCAAGCAACGCACAUCUCAAUUACGUGAUGUGAUGUUAAAAUGUCAAGGUGGAAGUCAUUUUCAUUCAAGCUGUAUAAAACUGGGAGUGGGGUGGAAACAAAACUGGCUGAAUACAAAAACACA